CAGAAAAGCUCCCCCCCCCCCAAGCGGGGUGGGAAAAUGAAAUUUGACUAACACCAUUGCAAGUGUUUAAAAUAACUGAAUUGGAUCCCUGCAAAUUUAUUGCUACCUUCUUGAAAACUGAAGCUUGAAAAAGGAGAGAGAACUUAGAAAGUUCCCUUCUGCAACGCUUUUCGUGUGAUAUGAGCCAUGGUGGUGCAGUGGUUAGAAUGCAGUACUG
Long non-coding RNA from Thamnophis elegans (Western terrestrial garter snake), 217 nucleotides. RefSeq lists it as uncharacterized. The transcript has 3 exons. Lineage: Eukaryota; Metazoa; Chordata; Lepidosauria; Squamata; Natricidae. The record is from RefSeq and is a predicted model, not a curated record.